GAUGGUAUAGCUCAUGGUAGAGUGUGUCCUUUGCAUGCACGAGGUCCUAGGUUCAAUCCCCAGUACCUCA
Molecule: transfer RNA, 70 nt
Filed under: Camelus bactrianus (Bactrian camel)
Lineage: Eukaryota; Metazoa; Chordata; Mammalia; Artiodactyla; Camelidae
Also listed under: 2 other names
Rfam family: tRNA
About the family: Transfer RNA (tRNA) molecules are approximately 80 nucleotides in length. Their secondary structure includes four short double-helical elements and three loops (D, anti-codon, and T loops).
Source: Rfam by way of RNAcentral